GGGCCGCGGGAAUUCGAUUCAGGCCUAACACAUGCAAGUCGAACGAUGAAGCCAAAACUUGCUCCGGUGGAUUAGUGGCGAACGGGUGAGUAACACGUGAGCAAUCUGCCCUUGACUCUGGGAUAACUGCGGGAAACUGUAGCUAAUACCGGAUACGACACCUUGGGGCAUCCCAGGGUGUGGAAAGAAUUUCGGUCAAGGAUGAGCUCGCGGCCUAUCAGCUAGUUGGUGAGGUAAUGGCUCACCAAGGCGACGACGGGUAGCCGGCCUGAGAGGGGGGCCGGCCACACUGGAACUGAGACACGGUCCAGACUCCUACGGGA
Molecule: ribosomal RNA, 323 nt
Filed under: uncultured bacterium
Lineage: Bacteria
Description: bacterial SSU rRNA
Rfam family: Bacterial small subunit ribosomal RNA
Source: RNAcentral